GUCUGCAACUCGACUACAUGAAGCUGGAAUCGGCUAGUAAUCGCAGAUCAGAAUGCUGCGGUGAAUACGUUCCCGGGUCUUGUACACACCGCCCGUCACACCAUGGGAGUCGGAAAUGCCCGAAGCCGGUGACCCAACCAAAAGGAGGGAGCCGUCGAAGGCAGGUCUGAUAACUGGGGUGAAGUCGUAACAAGGUAGC
RNAcentral lists this ribosomal RNA (199 nucleotides) under uncultured bacterium. Its description in RNAcentral is "partial 16S ribosomal RNA". It matches the Rfam family "Bacterial small subunit ribosomal RNA", at positions 1303 to 1500 of the family's 1533-position model. The record is from RNAcentral.